GAUCCUGGCUCAGGAUGAACGCUAGCGGCAGGCUUAACACAUGCAAGUCGAGGGGCAGCAUAAUGGAUAGCAAUAUCUAUGGUGGCGACCGGCGCACGGGUGCGUAACGCGUAUGCAACCUACCUUUAACAGGGGGAUAACGACUGAGAAAUUGGUACUAAUACCCCAUAAUAUCAUAGAAGGCAUCUUUANGGUUGAAAAUUCCGAUGGUUAGAGAUGGGCAUGCGUUGUAUUAG
This 236-nucleotide ribosomal RNA is filed under the name uncultured bacterium. RNAcentral's name for it is "partial 16S ribosomal RNA". It matches the Rfam family "Bacterial small subunit ribosomal RNA", at positions 15 to 244 of the family's 1533-position model. The record is from RNAcentral.